RNAcentral lists this ribosomal RNA (253 nucleotides) under uncultured bacterium. RNAcentral describes it as "partial 16S ribosomal RNA". It matches the Rfam family "Bacterial small subunit ribosomal RNA", at positions 524 to 776 of the family's 1533-position model. The record is from RNAcentral.
UACGUAGGGUCCAAGCGUUAAUCGGAAUUAUUGGGCGUAAAGAAUUUGUAGGCUGUCGUGUAAGUUGAAUGUGAAAUCCCUGGGCUUAACCUAGGAACAGCGUUCAAGACUACAUGGCUAGAGUAUAUCAGAGGAGUGUGGAAUUCCUAGUGUAGCAGUGAAAUGCGUAGAUAUUAGGAGGAACACCAGUGGCGAAGGCGGCACUCUGGGAUAAUACUGACGCUGAGAAAUGAAAGCGUGGGGAGCAAACGGG